Non-coding RNA from Halocaridina rubra (Hawaiian volcano shrimp), 72 nucleotides. NCBI's taxonomy places the organism in Eukaryota, Metazoa, Arthropoda, Malacostraca, Decapoda, Atyidae. The record is from the annotation of a GenBank genome assembly.
UCCUCGGUAGUUCAGUGGUAGAGCGAGCAAGUCGGGGAGAAACUAACGUGGGUUCAAGUCCGUCCUGGGGCG